RNAcentral lists this ribosomal RNA (300 nucleotides) under uncultured Salinicoccus sp. RNAcentral's name for it is "bacterial SSU rRNA". It matches the Rfam family "Bacterial small subunit ribosomal RNA", at positions 496 to 795 of the family's 1533-position model. Lineage: Bacteria; Bacillati; Bacillota; Bacilli; Caryophanales; Staphylococcaceae. The record is from RNAcentral.
GCUAACUACGUGCCAGCAGCCGCGGUAAUACGUAGGUGGCAAGCGUUAUCCGGAAUUAUUGGGCGUAAAGCGCGCGUAGGCGGUUCGUUAAGUCUGAUGUGAAAGCCCCCGGCUCAACCGGGGAGGGUCAUUGGAAACUGGCGGACUUGAGUGCAGAAGAGGAGAGUGGAAUUCCAUGUGUAGCGGUGAAAUGCGCAGAGAUAUGGAGGAACACCAGUGGCGAAGGCGGCUCUCUGGUCUGCAACUGACGCUGAGGUGCGAAAGCGUGGGGAUCAAACAGGAUUAGAUACCCUUGUAGUC